RNAcentral lists this transfer RNA (61 nucleotides) under Candidatus Kinetoplastidibacterium blastocrithidiae TCC012E. RNAcentral's name for it is "tRNA-Und (NNN) (tRNA-Und-NNN-1-1)". It matches the Rfam family "transfer-messenger RNA", at positions 312 to 374 of the family's 374-position model. From Rfam's summary of the family: Bacterial tmRNA, also known as 10Sa RNA or SsrA, is named for its dual tRNA and mRNA-like properties. Its role is to liberate the mRNA from a stalled ribosome. The record is from RNAcentral. Lineage: Bacteria; Pseudomonadati; Pseudomonadota; Betaproteobacteria. RNAcentral also lists the same sequence under 1 other name.
ACAUGUAGAAAUGACAUUAGAAGAUUAACGGACGGGGGUUCAAAUCCCCCCGGCUCCACCA